This is a long non-coding RNA of Perognathus longimembris pacificus (Pacific pocket mouse), 157 nucleotides long. RefSeq lists it as uncharacterized. The record is from RefSeq and is a predicted model, not a curated record. The transcript is spliced from 3 exons. NCBI's taxonomy places the organism in Eukaryota, Metazoa, Chordata, Mammalia, Rodentia, Heteromyidae.
CACUGUAAUAGGUUUCCCUUUCGGCCACAUCCCCGCCAGCAUUUGUUAUUGUUAGUUUUCCUGAUAGUGGCCAUUCUAACUGGAAUGAGAGGGAAUCUCAAUGUUGUUUUGAUUUGCAAUUCCUUUAUGGCCAGAGAUAUUGAACACUUCUUCGUGU